AUACGGGGGGUGCAAGCGUUAAUCGGAAUUACUGGGCGUAAAGCGCGCGUAGGCGGAUAAUUAAGUCAGAUGUGAAAUCCCCGGGCUCAACCUGGGAACUGCAUUUGAUACUGAUUAACUAGAGUAUGGUAGAGGUGAGUGGAAUUUCCGGUGUAGCGGUGAAAUGCGUAGAGAUUGGAAGGAACACCAGUGGCGAAGGCGACUCACUGGGCCAUUACUGACGCUGAGGUGCGAAAGCGUGGGUAGCAAACAGGAUUAGAAACCCCAGUAGUCC
Molecule: ribosomal RNA, 274 nt
Filed under: uncultured bacterium
Lineage: Bacteria
Description: partial 16S ribosomal RNA
Rfam family: Bacterial small subunit ribosomal RNA
Source: RNAcentral